Long non-coding RNA from Fukomys damarensis (Damara mole-rat), 244 nucleotides. RefSeq lists it as uncharacterized. The transcript is spliced from 3 exons. The record is from RefSeq and is a predicted model, not a curated record. NCBI's taxonomy places the organism in Eukaryota, Metazoa, Chordata, Mammalia, Rodentia, Bathyergidae.
GAUAAAUGCUCACCUUCUAUCAAAUGCUGAUCUCCUGAGCAACAGGACUUGCGCUGGCUGCUUUAACUCAAGAACCAAGGACAAGUGCUAGAGGAAGGCAAGUAUACUUAGGUAUCCUGGAUCCAGAAGUUUAACUAAUGAAGCAUGCAAUGGAAGCCUAUGUACAUCAGGAUGACUACUAAGUCAAUCAGAAAGCACGAAUCAGAGAAGAUGGCUUGGGCUGAAGGAGCAUCAUGUGCUACAG